CCUCCGGUAGCUCAGUCGGAAGAGCAUACAGAGUACAAUAAAACGCUCCCCCGAUUCAUUCUGUAGACGCUGGUUCGAGUCCAGCCCGGGGGG
Stereum hirsutum FP-91666 SS1 is the source of this 93-nucleotide non-coding RNA. Lineage: Eukaryota; Fungi; Basidiomycota; Agaricomycetes; Russulales; Stereaceae. The record is from the annotation of a RefSeq genome assembly.